GACUCGGACAUCUCUUGAACUGAAUUUUAAUGUGCGUAUUGUUAUGCGUUUACUUUUCUACAUUGGCUAGAGGUAUAGGGGGCGGGUUGAGAUCUCACAAACAUGUUUAACCCCGCCGCAUUUUUGCGCCUGUCCCAAGUCAGGAGCCUCUGGCCUUUGUUAGUCUUGUAUUAUUUUAAUUUUAGUUUCUUGUGUACAAUUUGGAAAUUAGUAUGGCGUUCAUUAUCACUGAACUAGUAUAUAUUUGUUUAGGGGCCAGUUGAAGGACGCCUCCGGGUGCGGGAGUUUCUCGCUGCAUUGAAGACCUGUUGGUGACCUUCUGCUGUUGUUUUUUUCUAUGGUCGGGUUGUUGUCUCUUUGGCGCAUUCCCCAUUUCC
Molecule: long non-coding RNA, 377 nt
Filed under: Mytilus galloprovincialis (Mediterranean mussel)
Lineage: Eukaryota; Metazoa; Mollusca; Bivalvia; Mytilida; Mytilidae
Source: RNAcentral